GUUGAGGUUAGAAUUAAAAUCUGAUUUUAUUACUUUGUGCCUGUGCCAGUUAGUGACCACUUUACAGAACUGCCUCCAGGGCAAGAUUCAUGACAAUAAAUAAAUCUGCCUCCCAGUCAUCCCGUCCUUAUCUUUACAAGGCUGCAGAACAUACAAGCUAGUGAUGUGGGGGUUCUCUCAUAACCCUCAGUCCCCAGGUGGGUAGAUGGCAGGUUGAAUAAAGAGAAGCUAGUGAUGUGGGGGUUCUCUCAUAACCCUCAGUCCCCAGGUGGGUAGAUGGCAGGUUGAAUAAAGAGAAGCUAGUGAUGUGGGGGUUCUCUCAUAACCCUCAGUCCCCAGGUGGGUAGAUGGCAGGUUGAAUAAAGAGAAGCUAGUGAUGUGGGGGUUCUCUCAUAACCCUCAGUCCCCAGGUGGGUAGAUGGCAGGUUGAAUAAAGAGAAGCUAGUGAUGUGGGGGUUCUCUCAUAACCCUCAGUCCCCAGGUGGGUAGAUGGCAGGUUGAAUAAAGAGAAGCUAGUGAUGUGGGGGUUCUCUCAUAACCCUCAGUCCCCAGGUGGGUAGAUGGCAGGUUGAAUAAAGAGAAGCUAGUGAUGUGGGGGUUCUCUCAUAACCCUCAGUCCCCAGGUGGGUAGAUGGCAGGUUGAAUAAAGAGAAGCUAGUGAUGUGGGGGUUCUCUCAUAACCCUCAGUCCCCAGGUGGGUAGAUGGCAGGUUGUAUAAAGAGAAGCUAGUGAU
Long non-coding RNA from Oncorhynchus keta (chum salmon), 733 nucleotides. RefSeq lists it as uncharacterized. The record is from RefSeq and is a predicted model, not a curated record. NCBI's taxonomy places the organism in Eukaryota, Metazoa, Chordata, Actinopteri, Salmoniformes, Salmonidae. The transcript is spliced from 4 exons.